Molecule: ribosomal RNA, 607 nt
Filed under: uncultured bacterium
Lineage: Bacteria
Description: partial 16S ribosomal RNA
Source: RNAcentral
ACCCGCCCCAUUACCGGGUGGUUCUGUCACUAGACAUAGGCCGGACUCUCCCGCGUGCCUGUGUGACCUUGACUUUGUGCCAGGUCUGAGGAUGCCCUCCGUCGUCACCCCUUAAAACGCGUUACCCCCUUUGGGACUGCGUCGUUGCGGCGCACCUCCUACUUCAGGAAGCCCUGCAUUUGAGGAAAGCUAGCCCUGCUAUUACUGCCAUGGCUCUCUUCUUCGGGGCCGAUUGAAGCACGGUCGUCGGCGCCAUUAUGCUCCCCCCGCUCGCAACAAGCCUUAAUAACCCGCAUUUCCCACGCAUCCGCCAAACCAUUCAGACUACACUUUAGAUACCCGAGUUGAGUAUCAGACGUAGCCUUUGACGGCCCGAACUCAUACCCUCUCCACUCACCUUAAGGACCACAUCGCCACUUUACGCAUCUAUAGUCCUCCUUGUGGACACCGCUUUCGCCGAGUGACCUGGUAUUGACUGCGACUACGUGCUUUCGAUCCCCUCGUUUGUCCUAAUCUAUGGGACCAUCAGGAUCGGGAUUUGCUACUGACGAACCACACUGCCCAUGGGUUAGGGCGGCACGGCAUCGAUUGCGCAAUUCGUCAGGCG